RNAcentral lists this ribosomal RNA (577 nucleotides) under uncultured bacterium. Its description in RNAcentral is "bacterial SSU rRNA". It matches the Rfam family "Bacterial small subunit ribosomal RNA", at positions 338 to 916 of the family's 1533-position model. The record is from RNAcentral.
CCUACGGGAGGCAGCAGUAAGGAAUAUUGGUCAAUGGACGAAAGUCUGAACCAGCCAUGCCGCGUGCAGGAUGACUGCCCUAUGGGUUGUAAACUGCUUUUAUAUAGGAAGAAAAACUUUCUCGUGAGAAAGCUUGACGGUACUAUAAGAAUAAGGAUCGGCUAACUCCGUGCCAGCAGCCGCGGUAAUACGGAGGAUCCAAGCGUUAUCCGGAAUCAUUGGGUUUAAAGGGUCCGUAGGUGGACAAAUAAGUCAGAGGUGAAAUCCUGCAGCUCAACUGUAGAACUGCCUUUGAUACUGUUUGUCUUGAGUUAUUAUGAAGUGGUUAGAAUGUGUAGUGUAGCGGUGAAAUGCAUAGAUAUUACACAGAAUACCGAUUGCGAAGGCAGAUCACUAAUAAUCAACUGACACUGAUGGACGAAAGCGUGGGUAGCGAACAGGAUUAGAUACCCUGGUAGUCCACGCCGUAAAUGAUGGUCACUAGCUGUUUGGACUUCGGUCUGAGUGGCUAAGCGAAAGUGAUAAGUGACCCACCUGGGGAGUACGUUCGCAAGAAUGAAACUCAAAGGAAUGACGG